This 405-nucleotide unclassified non-coding RNA is filed under the name soil metagenome. Its description in RNAcentral is "partial contains 5.8S ribosomal RNA, internal transcribed spacer 2, and large subunit ribosomal RNA". The stretch from base 1 to 121 matches the Rfam family "5.8S ribosomal RNA", at positions 35 to 154 of the family's 154-position model. The record is from RNAcentral.
GAUGAAGAACGCAGCGAAAUGCGAUAAGUAAUGUGAAUUGCAGAAUUCAGUGAAUCAUCGAAUCUUUGAACGCACCUUGCGCCCUUUGGACAUUCCGAAGGGCAUGCCUGUUUGAGUAUCAUGAACACCUCAACUCUCACGGCUUGUCCGUGAUGAGCUUGGACUUUGGGGGUCUUGCCGGCCUGUGGUCGGCUCCUCUCAAAUGGAUCAGCUUGCCAGUGUUUGGUGGCAUCACAGGUGUGAUAACUAUCUGCGCUUGUGGUUUUCCAUCAGAUAACCUUCAGUGAUAUGGAGGUUCGCUGGAGCUCACAAAUGUCUCUCCUUAGUGAGGACAGCUCUUUGAACGUUUGAUCUCAAAUCAGGUAGGGCUACCCGCUGAACUUAAGCAUAUCAAUAAGCGGAGGA